RNAcentral lists this ribosomal RNA (253 nucleotides) under uncultured bacterium. Its description in RNAcentral is "partial 16S ribosomal RNA". It matches the Rfam family "Bacterial small subunit ribosomal RNA", at positions 524 to 776 of the family's 1533-position model. The record is from RNAcentral.
UACGUAGGGUGCAAGCGUUAAUCGGAAUUACUGGGCGUAAAGCGUGCGCAGGCGGUGAUGUAAGACAGAUGUGAAAUCCCCGGGCUCAACCUGGGAACUGCAUUUGUGACUGCAUCGCUAGAGUACGGCAGAGGGGCAUGGAAUUCCGCGUGUAGCAGUGAAAUGCGUAGAUAUGCGGAGGAACACCGAUGGCGAAGGCAAUCCCCUGGGCCUGUACUGACGCUCAUGCACGAAAGCGUGGGGAGCAAACAGG